Long non-coding RNA from Armigeres subalbatus, 490 nucleotides. RefSeq lists it as uncharacterized. The transcript is spliced from 2 exons. The record is from RefSeq and is a predicted model, not a curated record. NCBI's taxonomy places the organism in Eukaryota, Metazoa, Arthropoda, Insecta, Diptera, Culicidae.
UGCAACGACGCCCAUGCGUCGUUUUUCUUUUGUGAGUCACGUCAAUUUAGUUUCAAAUUGUUUAUACUGGCACUGGUUAAUGUCGAACCUAACAUUUUGUUGAAAAAGAUCAUACCAUAUAUUUUUAUACCAUCUAUCUUAUCUCCAGAAGACAAAAAGCAAGUAUAACAUCAAUUUCAUCGGUGUCAUCAAUCGAAUGGACAUACGGGAUAUGGAUGCAAAAUUGUAAUAUACCUACGUAAAAACACAUGGAUGAGGAUAUGAUGUAAUCGUAUUGUGCAUAUUUCCUAGAAGCUGUGUUUGUACUGUUUCAUUUGAAUCGGCCACUACAUAAUUAUCUCCGUAGUUACACAUAUUUCAACCUCAAAAUUUCAAUGUUUUGUACUUAGAUCGAAGUCAAGUCAUGACACUGCAAUGCGAUCACAGAUUGUCUAUCAAAUAGUGUAAUUUAAACGAGUGGGUAGUACAAACUUAUCUAUGCGAAAAUAAA